RNAcentral lists this ribosomal RNA (520 nucleotides) under uncultured Glomus. Its description in RNAcentral is "SSU rRNA". It matches the Rfam family "Eukaryotic small subunit ribosomal RNA", at positions 569 to 1091 of the family's 1831-position model. The record is from RNAcentral. Lineage: Eukaryota; Fungi; Glomeromycota; Glomeromycetes; Glomerales; Glomeraceae.
AGCAGCCGCGGUAAUUCCAGCUCCAAUAGCGUAUAUUAAAGUUGCUGCAGUUAAAAAGCUCGUAGUUGAAUUUCGGGACCGAUAUAUCGGUCGUGCCUCGGUACGUACUGGUAUUUUCGGUUUCUACCUUCUGACGAACCUUGAUGUCAUUAAUUUGGUGUCUUGGGGAAUCAGGACUGUUACUUUGAAAAAAUUAGAGUGUUUAAAGCAGGCUCACGCUUGAAUACAUUAGCAUGGAAUAAUGAAAUAGGACGUUUGAUUCUAUUUUGUUGGUUUCUAGGAUCGACGUAAUGAUUAAUAGGAUAGUUGGGGGCAUUAGUAUUCAAUUGUCAGAGGUGAAAUUCUUGGAUUUAUUGAAGACUAACUACUGCGAAAGCAUUUGCCAAGGAUGUUUUCAUUAAUCAAGAACGAAAGUUAGGGGAUCGAAGACGAUCAGAUACCGUCGUAGUCUUAACCAUAAACUAUGCCGACUAGGGAUCGGAUGAUGUUAAUUUUUUUAAUGACUCAUUCGGCGCCUUAC